AUGAACGAAGAAGAGAGUAAGGAGCUGCCCAUAGUUUUUACUGAGACAAGUUCAUCUAUCUUAGACGAAUUGAUACAAUUUGAUCCGCCGGAACUUCACUUCCCCAUUUUGCCAAACAAGAAGGUGUUGUCCUCAAUUAAGAUAGUGAAUCUUACAGAUUACAAUGUUGGUUUCAAUACAUAUAGCAGGCCAACAAGUGCGGCACCGUACCACACAGAGCCAUCGAGAGGAAUCCUGACACCACGGUCCACACAAAAACUUAUGGUAACAAGAGAAGAAAAGGAAGAUACAUUAGAAGAUAAGCAGCUCAAUGAAAAGUACUUUGUGUGGACAAGCAUUUUAUCUGAAGGUGUCAAAGACGGCGAACUUAGUGAUUACAUGGAUGACCAAGAGAGCAAGGAGCUGCCCAUUGUUCUUGACAAGAUAAGCUCAUUAACCUCCUCAGAUGAGCUGAUCCAGUUGGAUCCCGCCGAGCUCUGCAUGCCCCACUGGCCAAACAAGGAAAUGAAGUUCAUAGUAAAUAUAGUCAACACUACAGAUUUCUAUGUUGCUUUCAAUGUAUAUACCAUCAGCAGGAAUGCAUCACGGGACAAGGAACCUGCAGGUAGAGCAUCGAAAGGAAUCCUACCACCACGAUCCACUAAAAGACAAAUACUAAAUUGGAUAAUUGAUGAGACGGAGGAGCCCGUAGAAGAUUACUUUGUGUGGAGCCGUGUUGUGACUGAAGGUGUUGAAAGCAGAGACAUCAUUGGUUACAUGGUUGAGGAAGAGAGUAAGAAACUGCCCUUUAUUAUUCUUAAUAAGGCAAGCCCGGCAUGUAGCUCAAAAGAGCUGAUCCAGUUUGAGCCGCCAGAGCUGAGCCUCCCCUUGAUGAUGAUGCCAAACAAGCCCUUGCUGUUUUCAGUUAAUAUAGUCAACAGUACAGACUACUAUGUUGGUUUUGAUAAAUAUAACCCGCAAACAAAUGUGGCCUGGUACUACACAAAACCUGCGGGUGGAGUUAUGCCACCACGGGCCACUCAAAGACUGGUAGUAUUAAGGGUACCGAAGAAAAAGGAGGAGCUGCUUAGUGAGUGCCAAGACGAUAAGUUCCUUGUAUGGAGCUGCUUAGUCAAUGAAGGUGCCAAAGCCAGCAACUUUUACGAUUAUACUAAAUACGAAGGGAGUAAGGAGUUGCCAAUUGUUUAUACUACUAACAAGACAAGCAGCUUAUGCACCUCAGACGAGUUGAUUCAGUUUGAUCAUCCACAGCUCCCGUUCAUCUUCCUUCCCAACAUGAGGGUACCCAUGUUGCGCUUGCUUAAAAUAGUCAAUGUUACAGAUCACAUCGUUGGUUUCAGUACAUGGUCUCAUGAAGCCAAUUCUGCGUCGUACACAAUGGAACCGCGUGCAGGGAUCCUGCCACCACAGUCCACGCAAGCAAUCAAGGUAAGAAGGACCCCAAAGAAAAAUUUAACAGAAGACAUGCAGUGCAAAGACAAGAUUUUUGUGUGGAAUGGAAUUGUGACUGAAGGUGUCCAAGUUAGCGAUGUCCAAAUAUACUGGAAGGAUGACGAUAAAGAGUUACCCAUUGUUCUAACAAAGUGCCAAGGACAAAAAUAG
RNAcentral lists this ribosomal RNA (1602 nucleotides) under Triticum aestivum (bread wheat). RNAcentral's name for it is "partial small subunit ribosomal RNA". Lineage: Eukaryota; Viridiplantae; Streptophyta; Magnoliopsida; Poales; Poaceae. The record is from RNAcentral.